AGAUUGAACGCUGGCGGCAGGCCUAACACAUGCAAGUCGAGCGGCAGCACGGGUACUUGUACCUGGUGGCGAGCGGCGGACGGGUGAGUAAUGCCUAGGAAUCUGCCUGGUAGUGGGGGAUAACGCUCGGAAACGGACGCUAAUACCGCAUACGUCCUACGGGAGAAAGCAGGGGACCUUCGGGCCUUGCGCUAUCAGAUGAGCCUAGGUCGGAUUAGCUAGUUGGUGAGGUAAUGGCUCACCAAGGCGACGAUCCGUAACUGGUCUGAGAGGAUGAUCAGUCACACUGGAACUGAGACACGGUCCAGACUCCGUACGGGAGGCAGCAGGUAGGGGAAUAGUUGGAACAAGUGGGCGAAAGCCUAGAUCCAGCCAUCGCCGGCGUAGUGUAGAAGGUAAGGUCGUUCGGAUUUAGGAAAGUCUAAGUUUAA
This 431-nucleotide ribosomal RNA is filed under the name uncultured soil bacterium. Its description in RNAcentral is "bacterial SSU rRNA". It matches the Rfam family "Bacterial small subunit ribosomal RNA", at positions 26 to 462 of the family's 1533-position model. The record is from RNAcentral.